This 1119-nucleotide long non-coding RNA is filed under the name Bos indicus x Bos taurus (hybrid cattle). Its description in RNAcentral is "lncRNA (ENSBIXG00005005958.1)". Lineage: Eukaryota; Metazoa; Chordata; Mammalia; Artiodactyla; Bovidae. The record is from RNAcentral.
GUUGUCUCUUCCACAUAUUACUCGCAGUCAGCGACAGAGGGCUUUCCCACGCCAGGCCUGCAGAUCCCAGUCGGAAGCUUUAUCUAUCCUGCCCCUUGGGGGACUGCGGCUGGCUUUCCCCCAUGAGACCUAUUCUGUAUUGAACAGGAAAGCACAAACAAUCACAAUGCCCAGCAAAGAUAAAGUGUUUUCCAUGCUCUCUGUUACGACAGUGAUCCCCAUAGAGACGUAAUCUUCAGUUUACGGAGACUUUUUUCUGAGUCCCAAAUUGCAGGAAUCUGUGGGGUUUUCCCCCUAACCUUGCCCUUCCACCCUUCGUGGAUCCUCCUGGAAUGGUCCACAGGCAUCUAUAUCUGCUGUCCCCCAACCCCACCAGCAAGGGGCGCGCGAGAUGAAACAGUUCUGUCCUGGGAUGUACCACCGAGGGGUAGCGGAAAGACCACCCACUCUGGAAGGUACCAUUGGGAGAGGGCGUGUGACAACAGCGGCACUCAUGGCGCCACUAGGUCCAUCCCCACUCGCUCCUCUUCGUCUUCCCACUGCUUUUGAAUCCGAGUGGACACAGUGGGCAAGUGGCGUCAACAUUGGGACCUAUAGAUCAAGAUUCCCCAAGCUGGAUGAACCUGUGGUUGACCAGCAGCCCAGUGUUGAGCAACCUCAACAAGAGGAACGGCCACCUGAGAUUCAGGAUAUCACACCUGAAAAGGAGGAAGUAAAUGGAGAGGAUCCGGUGAAUCAUAAUGAAGAGAAGGAGAAGGAUGCCUCUGGAGGUAAAGUCUGAAUCGAUGCAUUUUUUGGUAAAGAUUCUCACCUGGAAACUGAUCUCCAGGAAUUGGCUGAAGCAAAGACUGGGGGUAAAGGUGGAGAUGGUCCUGAUGUCAGGGAGGAAUUUGCAUCAAAUACAGAGCCUGUUGAAAUGCCAGAAGCAGGUAUGUCAUCCAUUCAGAAAGUAAUUUAUGUGGUUUCUGUUUUUUCAGAAUAUUAUAUCUUUACUAAUAUAGAGGGAACAUUACUAUUAUUUUAAUAACAGAGUUCACAUAUUCUUUGAAAGAUAGUUCAGACCCCAGAUGCCUGAGUGCCUGACUUACAGACUUUCAAAUAAAGAAACAGAGAGGAUCA